This 470-nucleotide long non-coding RNA is filed under the name Hordeum vulgare. Its description in RNAcentral is "long non-coding RNA (HVUL_LNC012674)". The record is from RNAcentral. Lineage: Eukaryota; Viridiplantae; Streptophyta; Magnoliopsida; Poales; Poaceae.
ACUUUCAGCAUCGCGAAUAACUCGCCGGGUGACUUGUUCAUCCCUUGCAUGUUAUAUUUCAAUACAAAUCCCUUGUAGCUUGGUGGCAGUGAUUGAAGAAUUCUGUCAGUGAUAGUUUCUUGCGGGAGUUCAAUCCCCAGCUCAGCUAGACGGUUUGAGUACCCAUAUAUUUUGAGCACAUGUUCACUGAGAGACGAAUUCUCCUCCAUCUUGCAAGCAUAGAAUUUAUCGGAGGUCUCAUACCUCUCGAUCCGGGUGUUCUUCUGAAAGAUAAACUUCAACUCCUGGAAUAUCUCAUAUGCUCAUGACCCUCAAAGCAACGUUGAAGUCCUGGCUCUAAGCCAUACAAGAUUGCACAUUGAACUACUGAGUAGUCCUCCUUACGUGUUAACCAGGUGUUCUUAACAUCUUUGUCAGCCGUAGUGGGUGGUUCAUCUCCUACCGCAGCAUUAAGGACAUAAUCCUUCUUC